UUUUUUUUUUUUGGUUUUUUUCCCACAGCAUAUGGAGAUAUGGAGGUUCCCAGCCCUAAAAAGCAAAAAAAUUAAAAUAAUUUUAAAAUAAAAAAAAAUUUAAAAAUAGGAAAAGAAAGAGCCAGACCAAAGAUGAGAGCAUCAAGAGACACUUGGCACUGGAUCAGGCGGGGCACAGGAAGAUGAAUGGGGCAUCCUGCUGCUCUUUACUCCUCUGGUUGUAUCUCUCCCUACUUCUGUUUCAGUUUCUCUCCCAUCUGUCUCUGCCUUAGCUAUUAUUUCCCUAGUCUCUCAGUCUCUCUUUGCCUCCUGUCCUUUCAAUGGGCUUUCAUCCUAGUUCCACCUGGCAGCAGCCAAGAAUACCUAGGACUCCUAGGUUCUGCCACUCAGCGACCCCAUCUCAAUACUCUGGGCUCUUCUAUACUAGCUACAUUAGGAAGGAGUGGGUGUCCCUGCUCUAGCAGAGAUAGAGUAAGUUUGGUGGGGAGGGGGCUGGUUUGGUCGGCUGCAUGCAGGGUGGUGAUGUCCAUCACUGCUCUGUGCGAGAGGCUGCGUGUAGGAGAGUGAGGGGCUGGCAUGGCAGGGUGUGACGCUGGUCCUCUUCAUGCAAGACAAUACGUGCGCACACACAUGAUGAGCACAGGUGUCAGGGAAGUGAGGAAGUAGGCAACCAGGGCAGCCGGCAGCCUAGGGCAUCUCUGGCAAUUUCCCCAAUGGAGUGUUUAACCACAAAGGGAAGAGCAAUUAAAGCUAAUCGUUCUGACAGCCUGGAGGCCAGACACGGGGGAAACAAAACAAAUUCAGCAUGUUUCCCCUAACUCCCGGUGGUCUUGCCCCCAUCCUGCUUUCAUCCUCGCUAAUUUCUGAACUGCCCUCCAUUCCUAACGUUCGCUCUUCCUCUCCCUCUUCCCUGAUGGCAUCUCUGUCCCUCCGUGUCCCUCUCUUGAUAUCUAUCUCCCUUUCACACACAUUCCCCUCAUUCUCUCUCUCUGACUUGGGCUCCAUCCUUGGCUGACUCAUACUCAUUCUUCCCCCUCUCUGUUUCUUCCACCCCUUCCUCCAUCCUUUGGCCACUCACAUGCUCAGAAGCCAGCCACUCCCAGCACCCUAAGCUCCAACUGGACCCAGCAAGAGAGGCCACCAGCAGCCCCUUCCCUCCCUACUCACCCAGUUUCAGAGCACCAAGCUCACUCACCCUCAACAUCCUGUCUCUCUGUCCUCAAGUGUGACCGGGAUUUUCUACCAUCUUUUCUCACUGCUUUAAAGAGGGGCCAUCCGAAGCCAAGGGCUCGGAGAAGAUGCUCAGAAAAUUAGGGUGGACCCGACGACAGUGGUUCCCACUUAGCUAGCUGUCCUAUUAGACUGAUGUUCUUCCAAGCAGUGGGAGUGAGGUGGGGGCUUGGAUGCGUAGUGCAGGGGCGUUUGUGAUUUGCUGUGUGCAGUCGAUGUGUGUAAGAGUCACAUGGGUGUGUGUCACCGUGU
This 1482-nucleotide long non-coding RNA is filed under the name Sus scrofa (pig). RNAcentral describes it as "lncRNA (ENSSSCG00005010067.1)". Lineage: Eukaryota; Metazoa; Chordata; Mammalia; Artiodactyla; Suidae. The record is from RNAcentral.